AGUGAACGCUGGCGGUAGGCCUAACACAUGCAAGUCGAACGGCAGCACAGUAAGAGCUUGCUCUUACGGGUGGCGAGUGGAGGACGGGUGAGGAAUACAUCGGAAUCUACUUUUUCGUGGGGGAUAACGUAGGGAAACUUACGCUAAUACCGCAUACGACCUACGGGUGAAAGCAGGGGAUCUUCGGACCUUGCGCGAUUGAAUGAGCCGAUGUCGGAUUAGCUAGUUGGCGGGGUAAAGGCCCACCAAGGCGACGAUCCGUAGCGGGUCUGAGAGGAUGAUCAGCCACACUGGAACUGAGACACGGUCCAGACUCCUACGGGAGGCAGCAGUGGGGAAUAUUGGACAAUGGGCGCAAGCCUGAUCCAGGCAUACCGCGUGGGUGAAGAAGGCCUUCGGGUUGUAAAGCCCUUUUGUUGGGAAAGAAAAGCAGCAGGUUAAUACCCCGCUGUUCUGACGGUACCCAAAGAAUAAGCACCGGCUAACUUCGUG
Molecule: ribosomal RNA, 492 nt
Filed under: uncultured bacterium
Lineage: Bacteria
Description: partial 16S ribosomal RNA
Rfam family: Bacterial small subunit ribosomal RNA
Source: RNAcentral